This 66-nucleotide transfer RNA is filed under the name Atractomorpha lata. RNAcentral's name for it is "tRNA-Tyr". It matches the Rfam family "tRNA". From Rfam's summary of the family: Transfer RNA (tRNA) molecules are approximately 80 nucleotides in length. Their secondary structure includes four short double-helical elements and three loops (D, anti-codon, and T loops). The record is from RNAcentral. RNAcentral also lists the same sequence under 2 other names. Lineage: Eukaryota; Metazoa; Arthropoda; Insecta; Orthoptera; Pyrgomorphidae.
GAUGAAGUGACCGAUUUAAGGUAAUAGAUUGUAAAUCUAUUUAUGUGGUUAAUUCCUCCUUCAUCA